Molecule: ribosomal RNA, 620 nt
Filed under: uncultured bacterium
Lineage: Bacteria
Description: bacterial SSU rRNA
Rfam family: Bacterial small subunit ribosomal RNA (bases 1-522)
Source: RNAcentral
CCUACGGGAGGCAGCAGUGGGGAAUAUUGGGCAAUGGAGGAAACUCUGACCCAGCGACGCCGCGUGCGGGAUGAAGGCCUUCGGGUUGUAAACCGCUUUCAGUAGGGAAGAAGCGAAAGUGACGGUACCUACAAAAGAAGCACCGGCUAACUAUGUGCCAGCAGCCGCGGUAAUACAUAGGGUGCAAGCGUUGUCCGGAAUUAUUGGGCGUAAAGAGCUCGUAGGUCGUUUGUUACGUCGGAUGUGAAAACCUGAGGCUCAACCUCAGGCCUGCAUUCGAUACGGGCAAACUAGAGUUUGGUAGGGGAGACUGGAAUUCCUGGUGUAGCGGUGGAAUGCGCAGAUAUCAGGAGGAACACCAAUGGCGAAGGCAGGUCUCUGGGCCAAUACUGACACUGAGGAGCGAAAGUCUGGGGAGCGAACAGGAUUAGAUACCCUGGUAGUCCAGACCGUAAACGGUGGGCACUAGUUGUGGGAACCUUCCACGGUCUCUGCGACGCAGCUACGCAUAAGUAGCCCGCCCGUCGGGUAGGUACGAGUCGCGAGAAGUUAAACUAACAAAUAGUAAGUUAGUACGGUUCGUUGUAGACGUUGCCGACGGACGACGACGAGGGAGGAGG